Molecule: ribosomal RNA, 253 nt
Filed under: uncultured bacterium
Lineage: Bacteria
Description: partial 16S ribosomal RNA
Rfam family: Bacterial small subunit ribosomal RNA
Source: RNAcentral
UACGGAGGGGGCUAGCGUUGUUCGGAAUUACUGGGCGUAAAGCGCACGUAGGCGGACUGUUAAGUCGGGGGUGAAAUCCUGGGGCUCAACCUCAGAAUUGCCUUCGAUACUGGCAGCCUUGAGUACGGGAGAGGUGAGUGGAAUUCCCAGUGUAGAGGUGAAAUUCGUAGAUAUUGGGAAGAACACCAGUGGCGAAGGCGGCUCACUGGCCCGUAACUGACGCUGAGGUGCGAAAGCGUGGGGAGCAAACAGG